GGAUGGACUCGCGGCCUAUCAGUUUGUUGGUGAGGUAAUGGCUCACCAAGGCGAUGACGGGUAGCCGGCCUGAGAGGGCGACCGGCCACACUGGGACUGAGACACGGCCCAGACUCCUACGGGAGGCAGCAGUGGGGAAUAUUGCACAAUGGGCGAAAGCCUGAUGCAGCGACGCCGCGUGGGGGAUGACGGCCUUCGGGUUGUAAACCUCUUUCAGCAGGGAAGAAGCGAAAGUGACGGUACCUGCAGAAGAAGCGCCGGCUAACUACGUGCCAGCAGCCGCGGUAAUACGUAGGGCGCAAGCGUUGUCCGGAAUUAUUGGGCGUAAAGAGCUUGUAGGUGGCUUGUC
This 349-nucleotide ribosomal RNA is filed under the name Brachybacterium nesterenkovii. RNAcentral describes it as "bacterial SSU rRNA". It matches the Rfam family "Bacterial small subunit ribosomal RNA", at positions 223 to 584 of the family's 1533-position model. The record is from RNAcentral. Lineage: Bacteria; Bacillati; Actinomycetota; Actinomycetes; Micrococcales; Dermabacteraceae.